CUAAUCCCCUGUUGAGCAUCCAAUCGAAGUAGAUAUUGCUCGGUUGCACUAAAGCCCCAAAAACAGGCAAUCGAAGGUUACAGAGUUCAAUCACUAUAAGAAUAUACAAGAAAGAGACUUAUCUCUUCAAAAAGAAUCAUAGAUCUGCUUCAGACUCGCACAGAAUCAAUAUACCACAUUCCUAAUCUCAACACAUGAGAACUCUAAGUUUCACUCAAGAAAAGAUCAAUAUACAGUGAGUAAUAACCUUCCAAAACAUCGAAUGAGAUGAUCGAUUACAGAAAAUAGGGAAGACUGAAAACCCUAACUCGAGAGAGACAAAGAACUCUCUCGAACCUCACUUAAGAGUCACACAAAAAUGAAAAGUCACCGAGUCAAACGAACAGUUCAUUCUAUUUAUAUCACCAGAGCGUAAACCUUUCAUCCAACGAUGGGAAUUAAGCCAGGUGUCAUCAUCAGGCAGAAUACCAUUUAUAAAGGCGUGUUUUCAAAACACGUUUUGUUAGCUGAAAAUAUGGGAGCACAAAUAACAAGGUUCGAGUCUCAACAAUUUCCACCGUGCUACCAUAUUUUCUGCUUUAGUGCAGCUAGUAGACAAUAUCACUUUCUCCUUUCAUUUGCUCCAAGUACCUGCAGCUUUAUCACAUAGUAUCAAUAGAUAAUGACUUCAAACAGUUUUUAAAUUUGUUCAAAGGUAUUAUCUUUGUUCCCAUAUCAGAUGGGUUAUAUUGAGUAGGUACUUUACCAAUUUUCAAAACACCUUUUGAAAUAAUGUCUCUAAUAAAGUGAUACUUAAUGUCUAUAUGUUUAGUCCUAUCAUGAUACAUGGGAUUUUUACUAAGGUGUAUGACACUUUGAUUAUCAGAAUAUAAUGUUGCAUUUUCAUCAACAAUUCCAAGUUCCUUAAGUAAUCCACUUAACCAUAUUCAUUCUUUAAAAGCAUCAGAUGCAGCAAUGUAUUCUGCUUCAAUUGAAGAUAAAGCUACAAUCUUUUGUAAUUGUGAUUUUCAACUAAUUACUGUACCACAUAAGGUAAAGAAAUAAGAUGAAGUUGAUUUCCUAUUGUCCCUAUUUUCAGCAAAGUCAGAAUCAGUAAAUCCCUUUAAGGUUAAUCCUUCUUUGUUCAUUUUAAACACAAGACCCAAGUUUGCAUUACCCUUUAAGUAUCUUAAGAGCCAUUUUAAAGCAUUCCAGUGUUCUUCCACAGGGUUACUCAUAAACCUACUUAAUAUACUAAUGCUAAAAGUAAGAUCAGGUCUAGUACAUACCAUUAAGUACAUCACAGAACUAAUAACAUUUGCAUAAGGUAUUUUUGACAUUUUAUCAGAUUCUUCAAAAGUUUUGGGACAGAGAUCAGAGGUUAGCUUAAAAUGAUUUGCAAGAGGCAGAGACACAGAUUUACAGUCAAACAUGUUAAAUUUUUUCAGAAUCUUUAUCACAAAAUAAUGUUGAUUCAGAAAUAACAUAUUUUUAUCUUUAUCUUUAUAAAUUUGCAUGCCAAGAAUCUUUUUAGCAUUUCAAAGAUCUUUUAUGUCAAAUUCAGAUUUAAGUUGUUGCUUAAUAUAUUCAAUCUCAGAUUUAUCACAACUUGCAAGCAGCAUAUCAUCCACAUAAAGUACAAGAUAAAGAGAAUGUUUACCUCUUUUACCUCUACAAUACAAACACGUAUCAUAAUUGCUCUUUUGAAAACCAAGUUUCAAUAAAAAAGAAUCAAAUCUUUUGUCACUGCCUAGGAGUCUGUUUCAGGCCAUACAGGGACUUCUUUAACAGGCAUACAACAUUUUCUGGAUUUCCUUUCAGAAACCCAACUGGUUGUUUCAUAUAAAUUGUUUCAUCCAGAUCUCCAUAAAGAAAAGUAGUCUUAACAUCCAACUGGUCAAGUUCCCAUCCAAAUUGAGCAACUAAGGCAAGUAAACAUCGAAUUGUUGUAUAUUUAGCUACAGGAGAAAAAAUUUCAGUGUAAUCUACUCCUUCCUUUUGUGUAAACCCCUUUGCAACUAACCUAGCCUUAUACCUAAGACUAUUAUUAUUUCUCCCUUCACCUUCUUUUAUUUUAUAAAUCCAUUUACAGUCUAUAAGCUUUUGACCUCUUGGCUUCUCAACUAAUUUUCAGGUUUUAUUUUUAAGAAGUGAACCCAUUUCAUCUUCCAUAGCUGUUAUCCAAUGCUUAGAGUCUUUGCAGUUUAUGGCAUCUUCAUAAGUGUUAAGCUCAUUUUUAGUUUGUUCCUGAUAGGUAAAUAAUGAAACAAAAUCAUCUGAAUCAUAUCUUGCAGGUGGUCUAGUCUGCUUUCUUUCCCUAUCUCUAGUUAAUUGAUAUUCUUCAAUGGGAUAGAUUGGAUUUUCAAUCUGGUCAUUGGUGUUAUUAUGCAGAUUAUUUUCAGUUUCAUUUUCAAAUUCAUUUUCUGCAUUAAUCAUUUCUGGUUCAACAGGUACAUUUGUUUUUCUUUCAACUUUAGAAGGCUCCACCUCAAUUUGUUCAUCAUCAGAAGUCAAAUUGUGUUUUCCUUCUAGGCAUGGCAUAAGGGAUUCAUUGAAGACAACAUCUCCCCUAACAAUCACCCUAUACCAUUUCUCACUUUUAACACACAGUCUAUACCCCUUCACAUUCUCACCAUAACCCAAGAAAACACAUUUAAGUGAUCUUGGUUCUAGUUUUCCAAUAUUCUGGUGUGCAUAAGCAGCACAUCCAAAGGUUUUUAAAUGUGAAUAAUCAAUAGAAUUUUUAGUCCAUACUGAUUCAGGUACUUCAAAAUUUAGGGCAGAAGUGGGUGUUCUAUUAACUAAAUAUGCAAUUGUUUUUACAGCUUCUCCCCAAAAUAUUUUUGGCAAACCAGAACUUAAAAGCAUACAUCUAACUUUAUUUAGUAAGGUUCUGUUCAUUCUUUCAGCUAUACCAUUUUGUUGAGGUGUAUAGGUAACAGUAAGAUAUCUUAAUAUACCAUGUUCUUUAUAGAAGUUAUUGAACUCAUGAUUACAAAACUCCAGACCAUUGUCUGUUCUUAAUAUUUUUAUCUUGUGAUCGGUUUGAUUUUCUAUUUGUGUUUUUCAGUCCCUAAAAACUGAAAAAGUCUCAUCUUUAGAUUUUAAUAAGAAAAUCCAGAUUUUUCUUGAAAAAUCAUCAAUGAUCAAAAGAUAAUAUUUAAACCCUGAAAUAGUACACACAGAUGCAGGUCCCCACAAAUCAGCAUGUAAGUACUCUAUAAUUUGUUUAGUUUUGUGAGUUCCAGGCAGAAAAGGAAGUUUAACUUGUUUACCAAUCACACAUUGUUCACAAUGACCAAUAUCACCAAGAUUUUGUUCUCCAAAAAUUCCUUUAUUUUCUAAAGUCUUUAGACUUUUCUUGCCAAUGUGACCAAGUCUCUCAUGCCAUAAUUUUGCAAAAGAAAAAUUUUCAGAUAAAGCAGUAGCAGUUAGGCCAAGUAAAGGUUUAGCUUUAAGGAAAUAAAGUCCAUGUCUCUUAGGGGUACUAAUGACUAAAUCAUUUUCCCUAAGAAUUUCAAUAUGUCCAUGACCCAAUUUUAUGUUGAACUCCAUAUCAUCCAACAUUCCUAGAGACACUAGAUUCUUCUCAAGUUCAAGCACAUAUCUAGUUCCUUUUAGAAAUAGGACCUUCCCCUUAUCAAGUAGCAAUUUUAUGGUGCCUAUUCCAUUUACUUUACAUGUUAUAUUGUUACCUAUUAUGACUUGCCUACCAGUAGUUUUUUCAAUUUCAAGAAAACUAUUCUUAUUAGGGCACAUAUGAAAGGAACAGCCUGAAUCAAGGAUCCAUUCAUCACUUAGUCUCUUGUCCCCAUUAACAAGUACUAGGCCAUCUUCAUUUUUAUCUUUGUUAUACAAUAAGGCUGCAUCCCCAACUUCAUAUUUCUUUUCUUUUGUCUCAUUUUUCUUUUUAUAACAGUUUUUAAUAAAAUGACCUUGUUUUCCACAAUAAAAACAUUUCUUUCCUUUGGCCUUGUUUUUAGACUUUCCCUUAUCACCCCAUUUUUGCUUAGUUUCAAAUGAAGCCUUUGAGUGAUAAUUAGGUUUACUAAAGCCUUUUCCUUUUGCCAUUAAAGUAUCCCCACUAUGAGUUUCUUUUGUUUCAGAUUUUAUUUCAAGGGCCUUAUUUUUUAGGGCAUUAAUUAUUAUUUUUGUAGUAAGUUCAUCCCUGCCAUAUUCUAAGGCAACCUUGAUAUCUUUAUAUCUAUCACUAAUAGAGUUCAACAAGAUCAUAGCCAACUGAUCUUGUGAAAGUUUUUCAUCAAAGUUGGUAAGAUCUUGAGUCAAUUUUGUAAACCUAUUCAAGUUAUCAUCCAAGUCAGUGGAAGGGUCCAUUUUAAAAGAAAAGAGCUGUUUUAACAGAUAACAUUUGUUAGGAAUGGUUUUUGUCACAUACUGUUUUUCUAAUUUGGUCCACAGUUCAGAAGCUGUCUUAGUUUCACCAAUAGUUCUUAUAACAUUCUCAGACAGAUACAAGAAAAUAGUGCUCCAGGCUAUCUCUUCUAAUUCAACCUUCCUAGUAGGGUUCAUGUCUUGAGACCAAGUGUCAUCUAAAGCCCUAACACAUCUCAUUUGCAUCAGUAUAGCUUUCAUCUUUUGACUCCACAUAUUGUAAUCAAUUUUUCCAUCGAAUUGUGCAACCUCAAAUUUAGCAGUAGCCAUUUUCUUAUGUCACAUAAAAUGUACAAGUUCGAGUUAAAAAUCACACAACAGCAUACACUGGACACACAACAAUGUCAACAAGGAGUAUUGUUCUCAGUAUUGAUCAAGAAUACACAACACAUGCAAGUUUAAAACAUAUAAGUAAUAUGCAGAUCAAAUCAAGGACUCAACAAUAGCAGGCAGAAAUUUUAGGUUUCUGAGAAGUUCCUCCUUCAAGAUCCCCGAGAUGCACCCCCAAAUUGGGCUUUUCUCAGAUUUCCAAGACCUCAUAGGAGUCUUUGGACAAAGACCAGACACCAGUGGGUAAAUGGUGUAUGGUUAAUCAAGGGAAGAAAAUCGAAACACACAAUUUCAUAAAGUAAACUUUACAAGUUUAGACAGAUCUCACCCAACAAGUAUAAAAUACUCAAGGUCCUUCAAUACUGUUUAAAAAUAAUUCCAGAAAUUUCAAAUCUGCCGCAGAUCGAGCCCUCCUUCAAAGAUCCAGGUAUCUUGCCCCAGUUCAACGCUCUGAUACCACUGAAAGGGGGCAAAAAAAACCCACACAUUAAUUGCAAGAUACAAUCGAGCUCAAAACAGAAAUUAAACUUGCAGAAAAUAAAUAACACAACAAGAUUUUCCUGCCGAAGCCCUAGAGGUUCAGUGACAAGCACCUAAUCCCCUAUUGAGCAUCCAAUUGAAGUGGAUAUUGCUCGGUUGCACUAAAGGCCCAAAAAUAGGCAAUUGAAGGUAACAGAGUUCAAUCACUAUAAGAAUACACAAGAAAGAGACUUAUCUCUUCAAAAGGAACCACAGAUUUGCCUCAGACUCGCACCGAAUCAACAGACCACAUUCCUAAUCUCAACACAUGAGAACUCUAAGUUUCACUCAAGAAAAGAUCAAUAUACAAUGAUUAAUAACCUUCCAAAAC
Molecule: long non-coding RNA, 5551 nt
Filed under: Olea europaea (common olive)
Lineage: Eukaryota; Viridiplantae; Streptophyta; Magnoliopsida; Lamiales; Oleaceae
Description: long non-coding RNA (OEUR_LNC008070)
Source: RNAcentral